RNAcentral lists this long non-coding RNA (6424 nucleotides) under Mytilus galloprovincialis (Mediterranean mussel). Lineage: Eukaryota; Metazoa; Mollusca; Bivalvia; Mytilida; Mytilidae. The record is from RNAcentral.
UCACGCUGUAAAUGGCGUCAAAACAAAAAAUAUUUGCUAGGUAAUGUUCACACAAUGACAACCUUAUUAGGCAUUAUUGAUGAAUGCCAACCACAAAGCAAUGAUGCAAGGAAAUGAUGACAUUCAAAGACAUGAAUUUGAUCAAAAUUUAUUUAAUGUCACGAAAUUUUAAAUGUAAACAGCCUUGUAAUAUUUUUUCCACUGCUGGUAGUCUAGACAAUUAUAAUUGACGUCUGUUGAGGGUAUCUUUUCAAUUAUGAAAGCUCCCUCAUUGACAUAGAAAACGUCAAAUCUGAAUCUGGGUAACUGGUUAAUUAAAACAAAUCCUAUUCCCAGGAAAACUUUACUUUUGUACCCUUUGCCUAUGGCUGAGAUGUCAGUCAUACUCCUCAAUCUAAAGGCCUGUUGGUACGAAGUGUCCCAAUGUGCAGUUUUCCUUUCUGGUGCGUUUUUUCUCAACAUAUUUUCUUCUCUGUGCUUUUAGUUGGUAUGGGCUGGUUAAGAUUGGGAUUGAGGAACAGCAUUAUUAAAUCUGCCUGUUCUGUCAAUGUAUACAUUGACAGAACAGGCAGAUUUAAUACUGGUUACAUACAUUGACAGAACAGGCAGAUUUAAUACUGCUGUUCCUCAAUUCCAAUCUUAACCAGCCCAUAUACGUAAUGUGCCACUGUUUGUAGUUUGGCUUUUGUCUCUUCUGUGUUCUCGCAGUCCAGUCUCGUUAGCAUAGUAGCUAAAUUCAGGUUUCUGACCCCUACCUCUUUGGAUAUUUGGUGUAACAUAUCUGCUCGUUUGUUCUCAUAGCAGGGACACUCCAGAAGGAAAUGGUGAGGCAUUUCAGGUGCUCCACAGUUGCACGACUCUAUGGCGUUGGUUUGGCCUACUCUGUUCUUGAAGUAGUUGAGUUCUGUAUAGCCAGUUCUUAGUUUGGCGAAUAUACUGAAAUGUCUUUUAGUAUAUUGUACUUACGUAGCUGCGGAACCAUAGCUCUUAGGUCCUUGUGAAAUUCUGAUUCAAAGGUCAAUAUUUAGUUUGACUCAACUGGUCUCUUUGUGAUAUCUUGUUUUUACUUAGUCAUUUAUUGUUGGUACUGUAGUUUUUCUCAGUAAUGUCACACAAUUGCACCUAAACAAUUAAACCUAAAGUAUACAAAUUUAGGUACAGGAUUAGAAUUCCUCAGAGCUUAAUGAUUCUCGGAAUCUCCCUGAACUAUUAUAUUCACUGUUCUCUCUUUCUUUGCUGGUGCUUGCAUUUUGUAAUUUCAUUCCUGUAUCAUCUAAUCAGAAGCAUUUCAAGAUUCUAUUUUGAGUACCAUCUUAGGAUAAAUGUAAAAUGUAAACAAAUAAAUAGUUUGCACUCAUUAUAAAAGUCAUAUUAAAAAAUGGAGUUAUCUGCCUUUGUCCAGUAAUUGAACUAAUAUCUUGAUCCAGUAUCUCCAAUUCAUAGUGCUGAAAUCUAUACAAUGUUCAAUUUAAAGUUAAGGGUGUACUUAGGUGACUCAAUUUUAUAUGUGUCAAAUGUUUGGACUCCUUUGAGUUUUUCCAUACGAUACAAGGUAAAAUAUUUUGCCCCAUAACACAUAUUUAUCUUUCAACAUAAGACUUUAAUGCUCAUAAAAUGUCAUUUGACAAAAUUUAAGAUGAUUCUUGAUUUUCUUUCUUUUGAUUUGAGACCCAAUAAUACCUAUGCAAAUAUACAUUAGAAAGGCUCCCCUUUCUAACCACGAAAUUUUAGGUAAAAAAAUUUUUGUAACUGUUAGAAGAGGUCUAAUGAAACUACGGUAAUUUCAAAUCCUGUGCGGUCGUUUGCUGUAUUUUAUUGGAAAAAACCUGUUUUCCAUCAUCUAACAGAAGAUGAAACUGCUGUAAAUGAUUCUAAACCGCUUCAUGAUUGUUAAAAUAAGUUUAAUUCACUUAAAAACAAUUUAGAAACUUGUGUAUUUUUAAACAGGAAAUUUAAAAAACAUAUGUAAAAGAAAUUAACCGGUUAGAGUCGAAAACCAUACUUAACAGAUAUCACUAUAAUACGACUUUGAAAAUAAAACAUUUCCAUCCUUUUGUAAAACAGUCUUUGAUAUAUCUAUCACAUUAAUGUUUGAAGUGUCUUAAGCUAAUACAAACCAUAUUAGUCAGUAUGAAACACCAAAACAGAACGAACAAUAACCGAUUAUGUUUUGUAGUUUACAAAUUCUAAGCUGGUUUACGGUUGUCUUUUGCACUAUGUUUGUAUCGUUUCAAUCAAGCAGAUACCAGUUUAUUUUCCAACCAAUGCAUUGAAAAGAAACGAGAAAUUUGUAAUGAAAGGUUUAGUUUUUAUAUUUAUCAGUAUUAAUUUAAUAUUGAUUAGAAAUAAGUUAUUAAUAUGGAUGAGUUUAAAUUAUUAGUUUGAAAAAUGUUAAGAGCGCCCUCUACAAUAUCUAUAACAAAGAUGGUGGAACGUAAACAAACCACCUUGCCAGGGAAAUUGAAAUUUUUCUCUUAUUUCUUGCUUAUUGUACUCUAUUGUCUGCACCCAGUCUGGAAGGUCCAAUUUUGGAGAAUAAAACCGCAGACUAUACAAGUCUUUCUAUGGUAAGGUAAAAGUCUGAGUCAGACUUUUCCCGCCAUAUUUCAUAAAUUGAAUAUCUCUAAAAAGGAGCUCUGUGACCUAUCAAUAUUUCUAGCUUAUUUUGAUCCUUAACUAAUACUUUUCCAGCUUAUAGUAUCAAUUUUGAAUCCUUGAUUUAUUUUUUGUUUCCUUAGAUCACCUAAGUACGUCCUUAACUAUAGUGUUAGGCAUUUAUCAACUUAAAAUUAUAGUAUGAUUGGUUACUGACCACAUAAAAAAAAAACAGAUUCUAAGAAAAUUUUUAUCAGUUUAGAAAACGUUGAACCAGAAUAUGCAAUCUUAUUAAAAGUAAAUCCUUAUAUUCCAUUCUAAUAAAUCGCUCCUUGAAUUGCCUCCGUUUUGAUAUGCGCAACAUGUCAUUACGAGAAUUCAAGGAUUUGAUUUUAAUUAGAUUGCAGGAAUAUGUGAAAAGCACAAAUUAUGUACCAACAAAGUGCUUUUCUGGAUUUUCAUUCAUUUGAAAUCCUGGAAACAAAAUUGAAAGCAGAUCUAGAGGUUGUAUAAAUACUUGAGAUGCUUUUAUUACAAAAAGGGACCUAACAGAAUAGCAAAAAAACAAUCAUAUCAAUUUUGAAUUAAAAAAAAAUUGAUGAUGAAAUAUAUAAUAUAUGUCCAAUUUUUUUUUUCUUUUUCAGGAAUAAUUAUGAGGCCACCCUUAAAAAAUGUUUGUUUGGCAUUGCCGACCCACACUAUCAGAAGAGUUGGGUAGGAGGUAGGGUUUUUUUUUUUUUUUUUUCAUUUAAAGCUUUAUAAAGGUAAACACAUGGUCUCUAGAUCAAUGUUGUCUAAAGCAUUGCAGCAUGUUGUGUGUACAUGCUGUUGUUCUUUAAAGGGUCAAUAAACCGUCAAUGUCACAUUCUACAUCAUAUGGAUAAUUUCAUGCAAGACAGCAGUUUUAUGGCGAGUUUAACCAAAGUACACAGAAAAAAAACACAGAACUGAGGCAGGAACUGAAAUUAACAAUAAAAUGUAUGACGUGAAAAUUGAACUUUUAUUGUGGGACUGCCAUGAACAGAGGCCAUGUCACAUCUUGAAGUUGUGGUCACAGCACGUGGGUACAGUUUGGUAAAAUUACCAAAUUAAAUGUGUCAACCACUACGCCUCUUUACAAAUGGACAAGAUUAAAACUUUGAUUGUUUGCUUGUUUAUAAACAUCACUUCUACACCAUAUGGGUAAUUCAUGGCAGUCGUUUUAGUGGCGUACUAAACCGUAUACAUGUACUAAAUAAAGCCAACCUGCGGAGAAAUGACUACCUUAUCAAUAAUGACAUGAAAAUCAAACCUAAUUUGCAACUGUCCACUAGGCUCAAACCAAUACCUAGUAAUCUACAUGUAAGCAUAGGUGUGACGAAACCAUACAAACACGCCUACUGCCCCCGAUAAGUUUUGGGAUAAAGGAUUUACCAAAUAGGAUAGCAAAAUAUUAAAAAAUUUGGAAGUUGGCACAAAUAGACAUGGUGUUAUACUUAUAUUACCAAGUGCAAGGUUUUUCAGGGCUAGGUUUAAAAGUAUAUAAAUUCAAAAUGGAAAUAUCGGCAAAGACAAUUUUUGCAGAAAUAAUUAAUAUGGGUUGUAAAGCGUUUGAUUACAGAUUGGACAUGCUUACAUGAAUCACGAUAAAUUAAUGAGCUCUUUUGAAUUUGGAAAGGAGGGGACUUUAUACAUCACUAUACACUCGAUACAUUUUAAAUAUGUUCUGUCAGUUUCUCUUAUGUUUCAAGAUUCAUCUUAUUCAUGUUAAGAGAAGGCAAGAAAAGUGGGAAGUACUUCAAUUGACAAAGAGCUAGUCUUUAAAAUAUGUAUGUUUUGUACCAGGCUAGCAUCUACUGGUACAAACUACUAUAAACCUGUAAACUGACAUUUUGGUCUUUAAGCUUUGAUGCUACAGCCAUAAUUAUCUUGAAUGCAUCAUUGUGUUUGACUAUAGAGAUACUUUGUUCUCUGGUUCAAGGGAAAAUUGCAAUGAAAAUUUCAAUAUUUAAUAAGUUCAACAAAUGUAAAAACACGCAAUUUGUUCUGUGAUGUCCCGGUGAAAAUUCUCAUGAAGCGCAAAGUCGAGCAGAAAUCAUCUUUUCUGCUUACAAAAGAUAAAAUAUAUCUCUACAAGGUUCUCAGAACGUUUCUUUCAAAGAAAAGCGAAAUUGAUUUUUGAUAAAAUCCAUCUCCCUUAACCACUGCAUUGCAGCAUAGGAGAAUGCUUUCCCCUGCCGGCCUUUUGACAUUAUUUUGGCAGACUUUUUCUAUUCAUGUCAUUUAAAUGUUUGCUCCCAAUAUGUGUAAAGGCAAGCGCUUUUAAGAUCGUGACUUGAAAUAAGUAGAGCCGGACAACCGGCGGAUACGACGAAUUCGGCACAAUUUCGAUUUUUUUUUUUUGUAAUAAAAAAAAUAAUUUCUGAAACCAAAUAAAAUUAUUUGGGCGGCAAGUUUUUCAGUGGGUCGGGCGGCAAUGCCAAACAAAUGAAAUUUUAUUUUAGGCCUGAGAUGAUUCCUAUUUAUUUUAAACUGUAACCUAAAACAUUACUAUACAUUGUAUGAUUCAUUCAUAAAAUCUAUAUUUAUAAUAAUUUCUUGUAUCUUUUCAGAUUGGUGUGAAGGAUACAAAAAAUAAAGAUAGAGACAGUUUUAACCAAAUCACAUUUGUAUAUAACAAAAUUGUCAACCAUUAGAUCAACCGGAUAGCAAAUCCUUGUCUAGGUAUAAUUACAUAAUAUUUAUUUUUCAUUGUACUUUUUAUUUUUACAUUGGAUGCCUGUGAGGCCAUACCUGUGUGUUGUUGGCUCUUGCCACAGACAUUUCUACCCACAUAACUUGCGUUUUUGAAUGAUAACCUAACUCAAAAUAACAUUCCUUUUGGCUUGAUAUAUAUUAAUUUCAUCAAUAAAUAUUUAUAUUCAAAGAACAAAGGUAAAUUAUAUGAAAAUGUUUUGUCGUAAGAAAUAUAUAUAUAUAUCAUUAUCAAUAACAAACCAAGAAUACCGUAAACUUGUGUAAUCGCCUACAGAAGAAUAUUUCAAGUUUGUUAUGUGGGAAAUUAUGAAUGCCUAUUCAAACCCAAUCUAUUAGAAAAAUCAAAAUAUUACAGAAGAGUGUCCACCAUGCACUGGCACUGCACUAUAAUUAGAAUAAUAUACAAAUGGAUAAAAAUUAUAUAUACAUGUAACUUUUAUAUAUACAAAUAUUAAUAUAAUAUAUAACAACAAACCAGUGUAUACUGAUUUGUAUAACUACACUGUUAUUACUGUGAGGAUGAAUUCCCUGUUAAUUAUUCAUCACAAACUUGUCUCAGAAAUUUUUUUUCUUUGUACCUUAACCUCACUUUCAGUUUCAGGUAUAGAGGUGUGAUUUUUUUUUCUGUCACAAGUGUUUGUUACCAUCUACAAGAACUUGUGGUCAUCCGAUGCUCAGUACUUUAACUUGGUGUUUAUCUUUUUUUGUCAUUUUUGUUGAUCAACUAGUUUGCAGCCAAUGUAAAUUAAAUCUUGUAUUUAAAUGAAUUAUUAUUUGAAGAACAAUGUACUGCUAUUUUCCACAUAAAAAAAAUGAAACCUUUACAUGCUCAAUUAUAUUCAUAUAUUCAGAUCCAAUUGGUAGUAAGAGGAUAGCUAUACUGCGCAAACAGUGACAAGUUAUUAAAUGGACUUCCAGAUUUGAGUUCUUUCACCAGGGGCGCAGAUGAAGAUUGAAAAAAGUCAAAUGUAAGAUACAUGUAAUAAGACAAUUGAACAUAAUUCAUAACUUUUUCGGUGACAAUUUAGAAAGCAAUAUAUUUGUAGAAAGAACAAUCGCCACAACAAUGAUACAUAACAAUAAUAGCCAAAUG